UUAUACCGUGAAACUGCGAAUGGCUCAUUAAAUCAGUUAUCGUUUAUUUGAUAGUACCUUACUACUUGGAUAACCGUGGUAAUUCUAGAGCUAAUACAUGCUGAAAACCCCAACUUCGGGAGGGGUGUAUAUAUUAGAUAAAAAACCAACGCCCUUCGGGGCUUCUUGGUGAUUCAUGAUAUCUUUACGGAUCGCAUGGCCUUGCGCCGGCGACGGUUCAUUCAAAUUUCUGCCCUAUCAACUUUCGAUGGUAAGGUAUUGGCUUACCAUGGUUUCAACGGGUAACGGGGAAUUAGGGUUCGAUUCCGGAGAGGGAGCCUGAGAAACGGCUACCACAUCCAAGGAAGGCAGCAGGCGCGCAAAUUACCCAAUCCCGACACGGGGAGGUAGUGACAAUAAAUACUGAUACAGGGCUCUUUUGGGUCUUGUAAUUGGAAUGAGUACAAUUUAAACCUCUUAACGAGGAACAAUUGGAGGGCAAGUCUGGUGCCAGCAGCCGCGGUAAUUCCAGCUCCAAUAGCGUAUAUUAAAGUUGUUGCAGUUAAAAAGCUCGUAGUUGAACCUUGGGUCUGGCUGGCAGGUCCGCCUCACCGCGUGUACUUGUCCGGCCGGGCCUUCCUUCUGGAGAACCUCAUGCCCUUCACUGGGCGUGUUGGGGACCAGGACUUUUACUUUGAAAAAAUUAGAGUGUUCAAAGCAGGCCUUUGCUCGAAUACGUUAGCAUGGAAUAAUAGAAUAGGACGUGCGGUCCUAUUUUGUUGGUUUCUAGGACCGCCGUAAUGAUUAAUAGGGACAGUCGGGGGCAUCAGUAUUCAAUUGUCAGAGGUGAAAUUCUUGGAUUUAUUGAAGACUAACUACUGCGAAAGCAUUUGCCAAGGAUGUUUUCAUUAAUCAGUGAACGAAAGUUAGGGGAUCGAAGACGAUCAGAUACCGUCGUAGUCUUAACCGUAAACUAUGCCGACUAGGGAUCGGGCGAU
Molecule: ribosomal RNA, 977 nt
Filed under: Phaeosphaeria sinensis
Lineage: Eukaryota; Fungi; Ascomycota; Dothideomycetes; Pleosporales; Phaeosphaeriaceae
Description: SSU rRNA
Rfam family: Eukaryotic small subunit ribosomal RNA
Source: RNAcentral